UACGUAGGGUGCGAGCGUUAAUCGGAAUUACUGGGCGUAAAGCGUGCGCAGGCGGUUGUGCAAGACAGAUGUGAAAUCCCCGGGCUCAACCUGGGAAUUGCAUUUGUGACUGCACGGCUAGAGUGUGUCAGAGGGGGGUAGAAUUCCACGUGUAGCAGUGAAAAGCGUAGAGAUGUGGAGGAAUACCGAUGGCGAAGGCAGCCCCCUGGGAUAACACUGACGCUCAUGCACGAAAGCGUGGGGAGCAAACAGG
Molecule: ribosomal RNA, 253 nt
Filed under: uncultured bacterium
Lineage: Bacteria
Description: partial 16S ribosomal RNA
Rfam family: Bacterial small subunit ribosomal RNA
Source: RNAcentral